This is a long non-coding RNA of Nomascus leucogenys (northern white-cheeked gibbon), 807 nucleotides long. RefSeq lists it as uncharacterized. Lineage: Eukaryota; Metazoa; Chordata; Mammalia; Primates; Hylobatidae. The record is from RefSeq and is a predicted model, not a curated record. The transcript has 4 exons.
GAUGACAUGAGGACCCAAGACCUUCUUGCCUGGAAAGUGAAUUCCUCAGAACUCUGCGAUGAUGCCAGUCUUGGAGGAAGACGAGGUGUUGAGAGAUAGCUGGGAUCCCUGAGGAAGGCGGCCCCAGUCUCCGGUGGAGAAUUACGAGGGACCCAAGCAGAUGGUUGGUGGAAACGUCACCUCAGUAUAGUACUAUAGAGUUUCCUUUCACCCCCAACGGCCGAUGAUUUCCAGGGGCGAAGAGUGAAAAUUGAAGCAAGGUGUCUACUGUCCAGCUGCAGACAAGGAGGCAGGGCGCCUGCCACCCUCAAGGAAGAGUCAGUUCAGAAGCACAGCAGCUGCUGGAAACCCAGGACGUUUCCAGUUCAUUCCCGCUGGGACCUGGCAAGAGUUGCACUGUCAAGGCUGCAAGAGGCUCCGGACGGCUUCUGACAUGUACAGACUGGAAUAAGAGAACCUAGCAGAAAUGGAAGCAGAGGCAAGAGGUCUGGAGGCCAGGAAAAUGUCAAUGGAAAGCAGCUAGCAUGAAGACCCCACAGUGUUCCUCCCUCUAGUAGUCUGGUAUUAUCUGGAGCUGAGAUGCUCCCAAUAUGGUUGGGACAUUUGUCCCCUCCAAAUCUCAUGUGAGAAUUUGAUCCCCCGUUUUGGGGAUGGGGUCUAGUGGGAGGAGGUUGGAUCAUUAUGGGGGACCCCUCAUGAAUGGCUUGGUGCCCUGCUCACCAGGAAUGAAUGAGCUCUCACUCUACUAGUUCACUGGAGAGCUGGUUGUUUAAAGAGCCUGGCAUCUCUCCCACUUUCUCUCUUGUU